GGAAUAUUGGGCAAUGGGGGAAACCCUGACCCAGCAACGCCGCGUGAGGGAAGAAGGUUUUCGGAUCGUAAACCUCUGUCCCAGGUGAAGAGAAAGAGACGGUAGCCUGGGAGGAAGCCCCGGCUAACUACGUGCCAGCAGCCGCGGUAAUACGUAGGGGGCGAGCGUUGUCCGGAAUGACUGGGCGUAAAGGGCGUGUAGGCGGCCUGAUAAGUCUGGAGUGAAAGUCCUGCUUUUAAGGUGGGAAUUGCUUUGGAUACUGUCGGGCUUGUGUGCGGAAGAGGUAAGUGGAAUUCCCAGUGUAGCGGUGAAAUGCGUAGAGAUUGGGAGGAACACCAGUGGCGAAGGCGACUUACUGGACUGUACCUGACGCUGAGGCGCGAGAGUGUGGGGAGCAAACA
Molecule: ribosomal RNA, 401 nt
Filed under: uncultured bacterium
Lineage: Bacteria
Description: bacterial SSU rRNA
Rfam family: Bacterial small subunit ribosomal RNA
Source: RNAcentral